Molecule: long non-coding RNA, 305 nt
Filed under: Chloebia gouldiae (Gouldian finch)
Lineage: Eukaryota; Metazoa; Chordata; Aves; Passeriformes; Passeridae
Description: Erythrura gouldiae (Gouldian finch) lncRNA (ENSEGOG00005002455.1)
Source: RNAcentral
ACUGUUUCCAACCAGGAGGGAGACCGUGGAAUUAAGGGCGAUCCUGGACCACUGGGGCCUCCAGGAUGGGGACACUUGGGUCCCAAGGGUAUUAUGGGACGUAAAGGCUUGCCUGGUCUACCUGGCUCCCCGGCACCAGCAUACAAGGAGAAAAGGGAGAAAAAGGAAGUAAAGGUUUUCCUGGACCAAAGGGAUCAAUAGGAACUGGCCUUCCUGGACAAAAGGUAAAUCCUAGGUUUGCAGUAAGGAAAGAGAAGGGUGUUUUCUUUCUUCAUUGGUUAUUUGGUGUGACAGCUCCUUGAAGA